UGGGAAUAUUGCACAAUGGGCGCAAGCCUGAUGCAGCCAUGCCGCGUGUAUGAAGAAGGCCUUCGGGUUGUAAAGUACUUUCAGUCGGGAGGAAGGUGUCAAGGUUAAUAACCUUGGCAAUUGACGUUACCGACAGAAGAAGCACCGGCUAACUCCGUGCCAGCAGCCGCGGUAAUACGGAGGGUGCAAGCGUUAAUCGGAAUUACUGGGCGUAAAGCGCACGCAGGCGGUUGAUUGAGUCAGAUGUGAAAUCCCCGGGCUUAACCCGGGAAUUGCAUCUGAUACUGGUCAGCUAGAGUCUUGUAGAGGGGGGUAGAAUUCCAUGUGUAGCGGUGAAAUGCGUAGAGAUGUGGAGGAAUACCGGUGGCGAAGGCGGCCCCCUGGACAAAGACUGACGCUCAGGUGCGAAAGCGUGGGGAGCAAACAGG
Molecule: ribosomal RNA, 428 nt
Filed under: Chloroflexota bacterium
Lineage: Bacteria; Bacillati; Chloroflexota
Description: Chloroflexi bacterium partial 16S ribosomal RNA
Rfam family: Bacterial small subunit ribosomal RNA
Source: RNAcentral